GGCUACGGCCACACCACCCUGAACACGCCCCAUCUCCUCUGAUCUCGGAAGCUAAGCAGGGUCGGGCCUGGUUAGUACUUGGAUGGGAGACACGGGAGCGCCCAGCUUGCCU
Ailuropoda melanoleuca (giant panda) is the source of this 112-nucleotide non-coding RNA. The record is from Rfam. NCBI's taxonomy places the organism in Eukaryota, Metazoa, Chordata, Mammalia, Carnivora, Ursidae.